CGACCCCAGGUCAAGCGGGAUUACCCGCUGAGUGUAAGCAUAUCAAUAAGCGGAGGAAAAGAAACUUACUAGGAUUCCCCCAAUAAUAGCGAGUGAACCAGGAAAAGCCUAGCUUGAGAAUUGGGCGCCACCGGCUUCUAAAUUGUAGUCUGAAAAAGUGUCCUUAGUAGUGGACAGAGCCUAAGUCCCCUGGAAAUGUAACACCCCAAACCCGAGACCAUCGCCGGUGUCGGACCCGAGGGUUAACAAACCAAGUUCACAUGUUUUUGCCCAACAAUUUGACAUUUCCAGUCAGGCUGGAAAACUGCGUCACUGUCGCCUUAAAAAUCAUAUCUCGAGUUUCAAAAC
Molecule: non-coding RNA, 348 nt
Filed under: Gossypium arboreum
Lineage: Eukaryota; Viridiplantae; Streptophyta; Magnoliopsida; Malvales; Malvaceae
Description: Eukaryotic large subunit ribosomal RNA
Rfam family: Eukaryotic large subunit ribosomal RNA
Source: Rfam by way of RNAcentral